UACGGAGGGUGCAAGCGUUAUCCGGAUUUAUUGGGUUUAAAGGGUCCGUAGGCGGACAGGUAAGUCAGUGGUGAAAUCUCUGAGCUUAACUCAGAAACUGCCAUGGAUACUAUUUGUCUUGAAUAUUGUGGAGGUAAGCGGAAUAUGUCAUGUAGCGGUGAAAUGCUUAGAUAUGACAUAGAACACCAAUUGCGAAGGCAGCUUACUACACAGUUAUUGACGCUGAGGCACGAAAGCGUGGGGAUCAAACAGG
RNAcentral lists this ribosomal RNA (253 nucleotides) under uncultured bacterium. RNAcentral describes it as "partial 16S ribosomal RNA". It matches the Rfam family "Bacterial small subunit ribosomal RNA", at positions 524 to 776 of the family's 1533-position model. The record is from RNAcentral.